This 970-nucleotide long non-coding RNA is filed under the name Homo sapiens (human). RNAcentral describes it as "HSALNT0342143". The record is from RNAcentral. Lineage: Eukaryota; Metazoa; Chordata; Mammalia; Primates; Hominidae.
CUUGAAGAUCUUAGAAGAUAACUUAAGUGAGGGGGGCUGGAGAAAAAAUUUAGACCCUAUGGAGGCAUAUAAGGAAUCUGCUCUUUUAGAACAUAUUUUUGAAAUUUGGUGAGAUUGGACUCUUACGAGGAGUGAUUGAGAAGCUGCACUCUCAGAGAGUGAAGAACUCAAUUCCAGGGAGCUUGACAUAGGUGGUGCAUGAAGUGUCUCAAGAGGAAGCAGAGAAUAAGAUCUCAGUUACACAGUCUGGGCAAGAAUACAAGAAAAUCACCCAAAAAACUGCGACCAUCAGAGGAGCCUCCAUGUUAGAGUCUCUGGGCCUCUGUCUCUUCAGAAUCCACCCUGGAAACAGUGUGCAUCAAAACACUUUGGAGUUCUUAGAGGCACUUGGAAUUAUCUGCUGGCUUCCCACCUUUAAAGAGACUGGGCUAGUUAAAUAUCCCCCUCUGUUCAUUUUUUUAAAUUUGAGUUUGUCAGUUCACAAUACCAGAAGAUCUGAAAGAAAAAUAAAAACAAAACCCAGAACCUCUUUGGGCUUCUCAGGCAAUAGAGAAAGACUUCCACGUACUCAGAAGACCAUCGUCAGUUAACAAAAGCCAGUCUUGUCAUCCUGUGUAGCUCUGCACUGCUUUAUCCAGGCGGUGGAAAAAGCUUUGAGUGUGAGUGGCCAGAAUCAAGUGGUGUUCUCUCACUUCAUCACGUUUGGCACAUUUUCUCUCUGGACAAAUCCAGUGGACAUUUUGCAGACCUGCUAAUCUCAGGAAGACUGAAGUUUUUAGAAGAUCGCUCUUCAUAUUUAGGGGGAUUCUGUUGUUGGAGCCACAAGGACCCUUAAGAAAAAUACUUGGAGCCAGCUGGUCCCUGCCAUCAUUGAAACCCAAAGGGAGGAGCUCCACGGGUGAGGAGCUACUCCCUAGAUGUCUUGAAGUUGCUUGUAUUUCAAAAGAAUUCAGCUUACCACCACUGUGGC